This 1158-nucleotide small RNA is filed under the name Pan troglodytes (chimpanzee). RNAcentral's name for it is "retained intron". The record is from RNAcentral. Lineage: Eukaryota; Metazoa; Chordata; Mammalia; Primates; Hominidae.
CCGCCCCAGGAGGCCGACGGCGACAGUUCAUCCCACCUGGUGCUUCCUCCCCCCCUGCCUGUGCGCCACGCUGGCCUCGAGCCAAAGGAAUUCUCCCAGCAACCCGGGAAGGCGGCUGGGCCCGUCGGGGAGGCUUCUGGGUUUGAAAACAGGCUUUGCCCAAGUUCCCACAGCUAAAACUCUGUCACAGGCAGCCUGGGUGCCCGGAGUGUUUGCCACUGAGACCUGGGCCUGCCCAUGGGGGGCACGGUACCGAGUUUGGGCAGCGGGCACCACCGGGGAGUGGCCUCUGGAGGCGGGAGGCUGGAGCAAGAGACUGACCCUGUCCAUUGGGCCUGCAGGAUGUCAGUGGGCCCCUGAGGGAGCUGCGCCCUCGGCUCUGCCACCUGCGAAAGGGACCUCAGGGCUAUGGGUUCAACCUGCAUAGUGACAAGUCCCGGCCCGGCCAGUACAUCCGCUCCGUGGACCCGGGCUCACCUGCCGCCCGCUCUGGCCUCCGCGCCCAGGACCGGCUCAUUGAGGUGAACGGGCAGAACGUGGAGGGACUGCGCCAUGCUGAGGUGGUGGCCAGCAUCAAGGCACGGGAGGACGAGGCCCGGCUGCUGGUUGUGGACCCCGAGACAGAUGAACACUUCAAGCGGCUUCGGGUCACACCCACCGAGGAGCACGUGGAAGGUGGGCCACGGCCCAGGGCACAGGGUGGGUGCGGUGUGGUGGCUGAGCAGCCACUGACACGCUGUCCCCACAGGUCCUCUGCCGUCACCCUUCACCAAUGGAACCAGCCCUGCCCAGCUCAAUGGUGGCUCUGCGUGCUCGUCCCGAAGUGACCUGCCUGGUUCCGACAAGGACACUGAGGAUGGCAGUGCCUGGAAGCGAGAUCCCUUCCAGGAGAGCGGCCUCCACCUGAGCCCCACGGCGGCCGAGGCCAAGGAGAAGGCUCGAGCCACGCGAGUCAACAAGCGCGCGCCACAGAUGGACUGGAACAGGAAGCGUGAAAUCUUCAGCAACUUCUGAGCCCCUUCCUGCCUGUCUCGGGGCCCUGGGACUCCUCCCGCACGGACCUUGGGCCUCAGCCUGCCCCGAGCUCCCCCAGCCUCAGUGGACUGGAGGGUGGUCCUGCCAUUGCCCAGAAAUCAGCCCCAGCCCCGGUGAGCCCCC